Molecule: ribosomal RNA, 439 nt
Filed under: uncultured Anaerolineaceae bacterium
Lineage: Bacteria; Bacillati; Chloroflexota; Anaerolineae; Anaerolineales; Anaerolineaceae
Description: bacterial SSU rRNA
Rfam family: Bacterial small subunit ribosomal RNA
Source: RNAcentral
AGCGGAGCGUGUGGUUUAAUUCGAUGUUUACACGAAGAACCUUACCAGGGUUUGACAUGCAAGUGGUAGGAACCGAAAGGUGACCGACCCUUCGGGGAGCUUGCACAGGUGCUGCAUGGCUGUCGUCAGCUCGUGUCGUGAGAUGUUCGGUUAAGUCCGCUAACGAGCGCAACCCUCGCUGUGUGUUAUAUGUGUCACACGGGGACUGCCGGUCUUAAGCCGGAGGAAGGUGGGGAUGAUGUCAAGUCAGCAUGGCCUUUAUAUCCUGGGCUACACACACGCUACAAUGGCCAACACAAUAGGUUGCUAAGCCGCGAGGUGGCGCCAAUCCCAGAAAACCGAUCGUAGUCCGGAUUGCAGUCUGCAACUCGACUGCGUGAAGUCGGAAUCGCUAGUAAUCGCGGAUCAGCAUGUCGCGGUGAAUACGUUCCCGGGUCUU